Non-coding RNA from Echria macrotheca, 83 nucleotides. NCBI's taxonomy places the organism in Eukaryota, Fungi, Ascomycota, Sordariomycetes, Sordariales, Schizotheciaceae. The record is from the annotation of a GenBank genome assembly.
UCUCUGGUAGUAUAGUGGUCAGUAUGUGAGCUUGUCAUCCUUCGACAUCGCUCGAGACCCGGGUUCAAUUCCCGGCCGGAGAG